UGAAUUGACAAAUUGUGCACCUCAAAACGAUAAAAAACACAUAAUUCAAAAGCAAUAAAUUUAAAAUAAUUCAGAAUAAGUUCAGACUGUAAAAAUAAGUUUUUCUACACACUUUUGCAAUAUUUUCUUAUAUCAUAUUGAUAUAGCUGUCAGAUAUUAGCAGAAAACUCUGAAAAUUUGUAAAUUUACACACUUCAGGGACAAUAGCUCAUAGAUGUUACGUCCCAAUUUUUCAGAAAAAUUUUGGGUAGUAAAAGAUCUUGACAUUUUGAUAGUUUUUACAAUAUAUAUAUAUAUAUAUACAUAUAUGUAUGAUACUUCUUCUAAAGUUUUUAAAAUAAUGGUUUAAAAGAGAAAACUGUAAACAGUUGCAAUAUAGAGAUGAUUUUAACAGACACUAAGAGAUGGACUUUUUUAUGGCCCUUUGAGCCUAGUAUGCUAACAAGGUAAUAUUUGCCAGGUACCUAUAUAUCUAUGUUGCUGCAAUGUGGUCAAUAAAAACAUGAAAAUCAUAAAUGCAUCUACUGUAAUGUAGUCAAUACAAAAAUGAUAAUCAUAAAUGUAUCUUAAACUAGAUGUGUCAAAGCAAAACGAAAGGCUACGUCUCAAAAAUUUGAAAAUCUGCAAUUUCAAUAACACAUGUGGAUACAAACAUGAUGGUUGUCUCACAUAUAAAAAGUCAGCUCUAAAUCUGGAGGCAUAUAGAAAAAUGUCCAUAUAAAUGUAAUUUUUGAACAAUUUUCAAAGUUUAAAACCCUUAAUUCUGGAAAAAAUUACACAGCGGAACGAAACUUAAACUUGAUAUGUAACUCAUCAUGGUUAGCUCACAUACCAAAAAUCAGCC
RNAcentral lists this long non-coding RNA (844 nucleotides) under Mytilus galloprovincialis (Mediterranean mussel). Lineage: Eukaryota; Metazoa; Mollusca; Bivalvia; Mytilida; Mytilidae. The record is from RNAcentral.